AUUAUACUCCCUCCGAUCCAUAUUACUUGUCUUAGAUUUGUCUAGAUAUGGAUGUACAUCCGUAUCCCGACAAAAAGACAAGUAAUAUGGAUCGGACGGAGUAGCAU
This is a non-coding RNA of Triticum aestivum (bread wheat), 107 nucleotides long. Lineage: Eukaryota; Viridiplantae; Streptophyta; Magnoliopsida; Poales; Poaceae. The record is from Rfam.